UUAAUUUUUCGGAUUUUAUGCCGACCGCUCCUACCCGCGGUAUCAGCUACCGUAAAGACGAAUACACCACUAUAUAACAACAUAAACUAUAUUUUGUCUUCUUACACUUUCCCACACCCUUAAGAUCUACGUGCAAACCACUCCCCGAUUAUCACUCACGAGCCUUUGCUUUAUGAGUCGCACGUCCUUACGCGCGCGUGGGUAUUCUAUUCAUUCAAUGCGCUUUACCGAAACUUAGCCCUAGACCACUUCCUGCUCUAUAUCGACCAUGAACAACCACCGUCUACGACUCCGAUCACCUACGUCGAUCCCUUUUUAUAUAUCUGCCAAUCGGCUGAAUUGCUACUGAAUUUUUAUUUAAUUCAAUCUGCCUGAAUCGCGAUUUUCUCCUCGUAAGGUCAGUAUAAUUUUAUUUAUUUUCUCUUCUAAGCUCCAGAUCUUUCCUUUUAGUUUUUUCUGCAAAUUCGAAGAAUUUGUGAUUUUAAUUUUAAGAAUUUUUGGUUUGGUUAUUGAAGGGUUAAAAUGGAACCUAUGGACAUCGUUGGUAAAUCAAAGGAAGAUGCUUCACUUCCCAAAGGUUUCUUCUCUCUUCCCUCUUUAGUUUCCGUUCAUGUAUAAAUAUAUUCAGAAAAGAAUAAUUU
Molecule: long non-coding RNA, 641 nt
Filed under: Nicotiana tabacum (common tobacco)
Lineage: Eukaryota; Viridiplantae; Streptophyta; Magnoliopsida; Solanales; Solanaceae
Description: long non-coding RNA (NTAB_LNC013723)
Source: RNAcentral